AACUGAUACUACCUGCGGGAACCUGCGGAGGGAUCAUUACUGAGUGAGGGCCCUCUGGGUCCAACCUCCCACCCGUGUUUAACGAACCUUGUUGCUUCGGCGGGCCCGCCUCACGGCCGCCGGGGGGCAUCCGCCCCCGGGCCCGCGCCCGCCGAAGACACCUGUGAACUCUGUCUGAAGUUGCAGUCUGAGAAACUAUUUAAAUUAGUUAAAACUUUUAACAAUGGAUCUCUAGAUCGG
Molecule: unclassified non-coding RNA, 240 nt
Filed under: soil metagenome
Description: partial contains 5.8S ribosomal RNA, internal transcribed spacer 2, and large subunit ribosomal RNA
Source: RNAcentral